Molecule: ribosomal RNA, 479 nt
Filed under: uncultured bacterium
Lineage: Bacteria
Description: bacterial SSU rRNA
Rfam family: Bacterial small subunit ribosomal RNA
Source: RNAcentral
GUCGUCAGCUCGUGUCGUGAGAUGUUGGGUUAAGUCCCGCAACGAGCGCAACCCUUAAGCUUAGUUGCCAUCAUUAAGUUGGGCACUCUAGGUUGACUGCCGGUGACAAACCGGAGGAAGGUGGGGAUGACGUCAAAUCAUCAUGCCCCUUAUGAUUUGGGCUACACACGUGCUACAAUGGACAAUACAAAGGGCAGCUAAACCGCGAGGUCAUGCAAAUCCCAUAAAGUUGUUCUCAGUUCGGAUUGUAGUCUGCAACUCGACUACAUGAAGCUGGAAUCGCUAGUAAUCGUAGAUCAGCAUGCUACGGUGAAUACGUUCCCGGGUCUUGUACACACCGCCCGUCACACCACGAGAGUUUGUAACACCCGAAGCCGGUGGAGUAACCAUUUAUGGAGCUAGCCGUCGAAGGUGGGACAAAUGAUUGGGGUGAAGUCGUAACAAGGUAGCCGUAUCGGAAGGUGCGGCUGGAUCACCUC